Xyrauchen texanus (razorback sucker) is the source of this 1913-nucleotide long non-coding RNA. RefSeq lists it as uncharacterized. Lineage: Eukaryota; Metazoa; Chordata; Actinopteri; Cypriniformes; Catostomidae. The record is from RefSeq and is a predicted model, not a curated record. The transcript is spliced from 2 exons.
GCAGACACUUGGUCCCUCAGUAAUUCCAAAAGAGUCCUAUAGAGAGAUACACUGUACUCAUUACCUAGGUUCAAUACAAGUUAAGCUCUAUUGGCAUUAUAAAUACCACAGAAAACGCAUUUAUCCAACCUGGUCUCAAAGAACAACGGUUUUGCUGCACGAAUCGCGGCAGUUUCCUGGUGAAAUGAACACUAGAGGCACUAAAACAACGGCUUUUAUUCCCUUUAAAACAAAUCAUGAGUAAAACGGCAGAUUUUGCAUUCAUAAACAGUUUUCUUCUGAUAUCUACACACUUUUGCUAUAGCGCGUGAUUUGCUUUAAAAUUUGCAUUACAUAACUACAUUUACAAGCUUGUUCAAGUGUGGUCAUAUUGCGCGGUAGCUCGACUGAUAGAGCGUUGCACUAGCGAUGCAAAGGUGAGCCGAAAUUGUCGUAGAAGCACCACAAAAUGACGUGGUUGCAUCAACAACUGGAUUUUAAAUCUUACGUUUGCUUAUUCUGACACUAUCGGUUAUGCUUAGGUUUAAGGUUCAGGUAAGGGUUUAGUUCGGUUUAGUCUCCCAUGCCGGAGACUUCGGUUCGAGUCCCGUUCGGAGUGGGGUGACCAGGACCGGUUACAAUGGUGCCGUGACCCGGAUGGGAGUGAGGUUUAGGGGGGUGAGUGUAACAGGAGCUGCUGGUAGAUAGCUGUAAACCUCAUUCUCCUGACCUCAAGAGGUGCACUAGCGACUGACGCUAGAGCCUGUAGCCUUUAGCCUCCUUGUUAGCGCACCCACCUACCACGCCGGAGACAUCGGUUCGAGUCCCUUUCGGAGCGGGGCGACCAGGACCGGUUACAAUGGUGCCGUGACCCGGAUGGGAGUGAGGGUUUAGGGGGGUGAGUGUAACGGGAGCCAGCUGGUAGAUUGCUGUGCAAUGUGUAUUAAACUCACUCUCCUGACCUCAAGAGCUGCACUAGCGACUGAUCUAGAGCACCCGCCUCCCACGCCAGAGACAUUGGUUUGAGUCCCGUACGGAGCGGGUAGAGCAAGAGUGUCACACUUGCAAAUAUAAACCAUUCUGAGGUUAGUAUAUGUUCUGUAACACUGUUAACAUAAAUCAACCAGAAGUUUAGUUUUUUACAUUUCAAUGACUUACAGUUAGAAUUUAAAUAUAUUAAAUAAAACCGAGAGUUAAAUGGUGCAAAAAGUGAUUAUUAGAAUUAUACUGAGAAAAAAUCCUGAAUAAUGCAACAGUCAUAUAUAUUAGUCCCUCAAACACAGAAAACAGCCACAUGUAUUGUUGUUCAGUAUAACACUGUCACAUCAUUUCUCAGAAACACACUAAAUUUACACACAAAUAUAAUCUUUCAGUUCGUUUAAAUGAUAGUGUGAAUCUCACAAAACCUGUCAAGAAACUAUACGGGUCAUAUUUCGCCUACAACGACUUUCGAGACAAUUACCGGUCUUGUAAUUAUUACUGUAAUUUUCAAAUGUUCAUUUUUAACAUACGUCAUAGCAGUAAUUUUUAUAAUGCAUUUAGUUUUCAACAAUAUACAGAUUUUCAUUACAGAGUUUGGCCAGGUUGAUUUUCUUUACUAUUGCAUGAGAGUCAUUAAAAUGGGGGUUAAGUUGUUUAAUUUGCAUGAAAACAAUGUCAAGAUAAUGAUGAUAAAAAAAAUUCUUUAUGCAAUAUAUAAAUUCUUGUUGGUUUUUCUUUUGAGGAUAUUACUUCAUGAGAUUCAUUCAAUAAGAAACACAAAUGGUUUGUUUUGUAUAUUGAAUUUCACUAGAACUCCCAUUAACUCAUUCAUUACCGGUGCCAGCUCGCCAGUUUAAUUGCAUUAGCUAUUAAAACCCUUUUUUUAUUUUUUUUUUUUAUUACCGCUGUAUUACACAACUACAUUUUAAAGGGACAGUUCACCCAAAGAUUAA